Molecule: ribosomal RNA, 644 nt
Filed under: uncultured bacterium
Lineage: Bacteria
Description: bacterial SSU rRNA
Rfam family: Bacterial small subunit ribosomal RNA
Source: RNAcentral
GGCGGACGGGUGAGUAACACGUGGGCAACCUGCCUGUAAGACUGGGAUAACUCCGGGAAACCGGGGCUAAUACCGGAUAACUCUUCUCUCUGCAUAGAGAGAAGAUAAAAGAUGGCUCCGGCUAUCACUUACAGAUGGGCCCGCGGCGCAUUAGCUAGUUGGUGAGGUAGGGGCUCACCAAGGCGACGAUGCAUAGCCGACCUGAGAGGGUGAUCGGCCACACUGGGACUGACACACGGCCCAAACUCCUACGGGAGGCAGCAGUAGGGAAUCUUCGGCAGUGGACGAAAGUCUGACCGAGCAACGCCGCGAGAGUGAGGAAGGCCUUCGGGUCGUAGAGCUCUGUUGUCAGGGAAGAACAAGUACCAGUCGAAUAGGGCGGUACCUUGACGGUACCUGACCAGAAAGCCACGGCUAACUACGUGCCAGCAGCCGCGGUAAUACGGAGGUGGCAGGCGUUGUCCGGAAUUAUUGGGCGAAACGCGGGCGCAGGCGGUCUCUUAAGUCUGAUGUGAAAGCCCACGGCUCAACGGUGGAGGGUCAUUGGAAGCUGGGGGACUUGAGUACUGAAAAGGAAAGUGAAAUUCCAGGGGUAGCGCUGAAAUGCGAAAAUAUGGGGAGGAACACCGGUGGAAAAGGCGUUU